Molecule: long non-coding RNA, 11105 nt
Organism: Peromyscus californicus insignis
Lineage: Eukaryota; Metazoa; Chordata; Mammalia; Rodentia; Cricetidae
Exons: 7
Source: RefSeq, a predicted model, not a curated record
CUUCUAGAAAUCACGGUCUGAGAAGACAGAGGCAGUGAAGUACAGACGCAGCCUGGGAGCCGGUCCUUGGGGUCCUGUCCCUUGAGUCAUUGGUUCUUCAGUUCCUGUGAGUUUGCAGCUGACUCCGUUGAUGGCUGAAUGGACCUGCAACUACCCCUGCCACCUGGAGCGUCUUCGUGUGUUUCCCCAGGAAGAGGGCAGGUGUGCACUGAUGAGCCGGUGGGUGGAGUAAGGGCAGGAAGGUGAUGAUUGCUUCUGCUGGAACACUCAGGUGCUUGGGUGUGACACCUGCCUCCAAUGGAAUUCCCUCGUCCAUGAUGUGAAGAAACAGAGCUAUUCUCUGCUUAGGCUUUUGGGAGCUAGUAUGAGGUUUUAAUGAGGUCAGUAACCAAGCUACUCAUCCUUCCUAAUAGAAUCACCAGGUCUGAAUGGUGAGGGCAUGCCCUCAAUUAGACAUGUUAUCAUGACCAGCUUGAGUGUCCACUCUGUGCUGUAGGGUACUAUUAAAUGUUACGACGAGGCUCCGAGAAGUGCAGGGACUUGCCUAAGUUCCUCUGGUUCCUUAGCCAUGCACUAUUUCCUGGGGCUUGGACUUGACUGUGUACUCAUCUGGCCUAGGAGCCUAGGUUUCUGGCAGAACCCUGCGGCUUCCUAAUCCCAAGAUUGAGGGAAGGAGCCACUACAGAAUAUAGCUAAGCAUCUCUACAGAAAAGAUUCAAGGCCGUAGACAGCACCAAAUUCAGCCAAGAAGCAUGCCAGUGGCCCAAUGCAGCCUGGAGAUUAGAACCUCCAGGAUUUGGGUGGGCUCUGUGUUCUGAGACAUGACCCAGAAGAUUUAAUAGUCACUGGCUGAGGACUUCUAUUCUAAACAAAACCCUUUUUGUGGUGUGUCUAUGGUGUGUGUUGGCACACACACACACAUGUAUGUCACAUGCUGAGGUCAGGGGACAACUUUAGGUGUUGGUCUUCACCUUCCAAGUGGUUCGAGACAGCGUCUCUUGCCCAUUGUAGAAUACUCCAGGUUAGCUGGCCUUUGAGCUUUUGGGGAUUCUCUCAUUUCCUCUUCCAAUCUCUUCAUAAUGUCCUGCUGAGGUUACAGUAUGUAUGUUACUGGGUUUUAGGGACUAGAACGCAGGUCAUUGUGCUUGCACAACAAUCACUUUCCCCACUGAGCCAGCUCCAUAGCCCCAAACCUCUACUCUUAAAUAUUAAUUAGUUGAGCGCAAACCCUAUGUCAGCCUGGGGUAUGGACAUUCAUAAACACAACUCUUGCCUUGUGGGAUCUUAUAGUUCAGAAAAGGACAGAUGGAUUACCUGUUCAUCCACACAGAGCAUUAAGGCUAGUGACACUAGUGUACAAGGUCUCCAUCACCUCCCCACAGUGAAGAAGCAAGAGUCUACGGGCUCAGGAAGGCCUCUUAAAGGACUGUACGUUAGUAGAGACAAGCAACCAGCCUUUACUGGGUGCCAAGAGUGGCCAAGUGGGUUUGUUAGAUGCAGAACAGUUGAGUGCAGACCGGGUAUUGGAGAAGUGAGUGAUCUUACGGUGAAGAGAUGGGAGAAGGAAAACCACACCAUGACCGAGAUUCAUCCUUCUCAUUCCAGGUGACGGGGCCAGCAACCCCGUUCACACUUGGAUCCUUGUUCUUAGGACCCACUCUGUGUGCGAACUUGGCCAUCCUCCCUGUGCAUACCUCUAACACCCCACCCACCCCCAUGACUGCCCUUUCCCUUCAUGCCUCCCUCUAGAAAAAUUGCUCUUCUUUCUCCCCAUCCUCACCAUCCUGCCUGGUCCUCUAGUCUCCUUGUCUUGACAGUCUCCCACUUGGCUUAUGACUACUACCCUUGCUUUACCACACAGCCAGGCUAACUUUGGCAGCCAAUUUAAUGACAUAUUGGCCAAGCAUGUCUACUUUGCCUAACUAUACAGAAAGUGAUCUAUUUUUAAUACAUAAAUGAAUCACUUCAAUGUCAUCACUUUUGGGAACCCUAAAAUAUUUUACAUAAUAAACACAGUCUGAGGAAAACAAAACAUCGGAAUGCAAAGAACAGACCAUACUCUGUCAGUGGUGACAUAUAUAAAGCUUGGGUAUAUAUAUAUUUGGGCUGAGCUGCAUAAGGGUUGUGUUUUGGUAGAAGACAAGUGUGAAUUAUUUAGAGUGAACUUGCCAAAUGCUAUGCUUCAUGGAGAUACUGUUUAUGUGUGUAUGUUUAUAUUUUCUUUAGAACUAUGCAAUUUGGUCUUGUGCCUGCCUCACUGAUCAUGAACUAAGCGGUGGAAACGAGUGUUGCUGCACAACUGACAGAAUAAUAUGCCAUGCUAAAGGUUCUUUGCGUGAAUAGCGUAUCCUCCUAUUUCGUUCCAUGGUGUUGGAGGCUCAGGCAAGAUUAAAUCAGGCAUGCCGGUACUCAGAUCCUAAAACAGAAUCUGAAGGCAUUCCAGCCUAAUAUGAUGAUUUUCCUGGUCACCUCACUCUACUGCUAAUGAUGCAGAGCAGAUUUUAGCAUGACAUUGCUUCAGUCUGUUAGAGUGGGGUCUCGCAGUCUUUGGGCUCUGAGUCACUCAUUGCGCUCCAGGCUCUGUCCUCUUCCUGCCCACACCACACUAUAUUGUUCUCUUAAGUCUCGUACUUCUGUUCUUUUUUUUCAAGUAUGUGAGCAUCAGAGGGAAAGUUGCAAACUGAGCUUUCUACUCACCAAUACUCUAUGUCCCUUCAUUUGUCUUUUUUUUUUCUUUUUUUCAAGACAAGGUUCUCUGUGUAGCUCCGGCUGUCCUGGAACUCACUCUGUAGACUAGGCCAGCUUUGAACUCAGAGAUCUGCCUGCUUCUGCCUCUGGGAUUAAAGGUGUGUGCUGCCACUGCCUGGCUCAUUUGUCUUUAUUUGACCAGUCAUCACAAUUUUCAAUGUUUAUCAUACAUCUUUUCUGCUUCUCUCAUCUCCCAACCCUCCCUAUAACUUGCUCAUCCUUGGCAAGGACCUUGGUGGCUCCCACUUUACAGAGGAAACUCACGUGGACAUCUGAAUCCUCAUGCUGGCUUGUGCUUCUCAGAGGAAGAGCUAGGCCUGACCUUCAGGCCCAGCAAUUCUAUUUCCAUUGUCCUUCAUCACUUCCCCAGGGAAUACUCAACCAUAGGAUUGGGUUGGGCUCUUUUCAUUGGCUGAAAUAGGUCCCUCCUCCUGCCUGUCAUCCUCCACACAUGCUCAGCUCUCUUUAACAUACCUGUGCUACCACCUGCUUUACCGUGGGUGGUCUGUUAGCUCUCUCCUGUCCUCAUGAAGAUUCUAGUAUGUCUAAUUGCCUUUUCCUUUCACCCUGUCUUCCUUCUGGGGCUCACUGAAGCCUCUUUCCUCUAUGAAUCUCCUUAGAAUUUGUACCCUCUUUCUUUCCUAGCUAUUGGUAUAUAUAGUUUUUCUUCAGCGUUUAUGAUUUGAAUUCUUUAUGGUGUUAUGUGUCUUUUUGAAAGCUUUCCAUCAUCAGACGGUAAUAUCCUUGCUUUAUCUGCCCCGAUUCAUCCUGUGUCAAAAGGAAAAAGAACCAGAAGCAUGGCCAGUGUGGGACAGAGCCUAGGUGGCCCUGAGUGACUCACAGAGUGGGCCCAUCACACUGAAGCACAGCCUGUGCUUACAGGUUACCUUCUAGUCAGUUCCACCCUUAUCAUUGAUUUAAUUUAAUUUCAGUAAUCCCCACUCCAUGUUUCCCCUUAUGUCCCCUUAUGCUUAACUUAAUAGACUUCAUUUCAUGUGAAGGUGAUUUUUUUUAAAGUCUUUCCCAAUCAUUUGUGUGUAACACAGUGUGAUCUAGGUGACUUAGGGACACAUGACGCUCCUACAGUUGAUUGCAUAAAGACCAGUACUGAUGGAGCUGAAUGGAAUCUGUAAGGAGGAGUAAGAAUCAUGCAAUGGACGGAGAGGUGGGGAGGAGAGGGCAUUCUGGGUAGUCUCCUGAGACAGCUGGUCAGUUGGGCAGCCUCUAGAGGGCAGAUGAGUGAUUGUGUCAAGCUGACUCAGGACUUGAAAUCCUGACAUGAAAAGAGUGGUGAGUAGUCCAGAAAGGGCCUUUUAAGGCAGGCAGGUUGUGAGGACAGUCAAAUAUAUUCUAUUCAGGCAAACACUCAUACACAUAAACUAAAAAGAAAUCUUUAAAAAUUAUUGUGCAUGAUAUGAAGACAUGUAAAUUCAAUAAAAGAGAAAAGUAACAAAUGAGGGCAUUGGUAGGGUGGAGGUCUAGGGCCACCAACCAGGGAAACUGAGCCCAGCAGAGUUGCAGCUUGAAUUGGUGAGUUACCCAGUGUCAGGGUGCGAGGUGGGUUUGUUUCUGCUACAGCCAGACCUGAGGAGCACCACCUUCCAGCUUUGGCAGGGCUUGUGCAGAAACCAGCUGGACCAAAGGGAGGCCUCGGGGCUCCUAGAAACAGCAUGAUAGAUGGUUUUUCAAUUAUAGCAGAGGGUUUCACCCCGAUCAGCAAGGUCUCAGAGCAUGUGCAUCCCAGGGCAGAAGAUCUGAGAGAGUGCUCGGGCAUCCAGCAGUGAGAAUGACAACGGACUUGGCCUGUUUCUAAUUGUCAUCCAGAUGCUGACUUUAUCUGAGAUGCUCCACUAGGGUGAUGGAAGACUCACAACCAAAAGGACCCCGCCUAGGACCUUGUGUGUCCGUCAGGUGGAGCAGACUCCAGAUCUGAGAAGUGCAGGCGCAUCGCUGGAGACCCUCCAAGCUUCGACCACCCACCUGGCUUUCUUAAGGAUGAUGCAAGUGAAAAUAGCAACUAAAGGUUCAGUGAUUCUGGCCUUAUGUUGAGGUCUUUGGUCCAUUUGGAGUUGAGUUUUGUGCAGGGCUCAGCUCUCCCUUGUGUUCACCAUGGAAUGGACGUCACAUCACAUGGCCGCUUGCUGCCUGCUGCUGUCCUGGGUGUUACCAUGUACUCUAAGGUCAGAGGGUGAUUGGAGGUACACACUUUCUGAGGAGGGAGACAUGUUUAGAAAUAAAUGGGAUUCUUUUAUGAGGGGAGGAGAAUAAAAGCAGUGAAAAUAAAAUCCAGGGGUGUGAGUUGUGGAAACAGAUAGAGCAGCCAUUAUUAGGAAAGCAGAGGAGAGUGAGAUAUUUCCAGAUAUUUGUCCCCAUGGCACAAACAUACCAAUUCAUUUAGUCAUAGACUCCUUCCCUUUCUCUUUUAUUACAUUUAUUUAUUUAUUUUGUGCAUGUGUUUCUGAGUGUGUAUGUGUGUGGAGGUCAGAGGUCAGCUUGUGAGAACUGGUUCACUCCUCUGUCACGUAGGUCCUGGGGAUCAAACUCGGGUCAUCAGACUUGGUGACAAGCACCUCAACACACUUAAGGAGCUUAGGCCAGCCUGAUUCAGGCAUGGAUUCUUGUAUCUCUGGAAAGCAGGAGAAACUUAGGUUACAGGGCAGGAAAAGACGUUUUUAUUCCUUCUCUACACUGGCAGAAUAGCGGUCUUGAACUAUCAACCUCCGGGCCUCAGUGUCGUGACCCAGAAAAUAGGCAGUUGGUCCGAAUGGCCUCAAAUGUUCCUCCUCCUCGGAAAUUCUGUGAUUCUGUGACUGUGUAGACACAGCCCCAGGCUAGUCUGGAAAUAAACUGUUCAAUGAGUUUAAAAUAAGACAUGCCGACCAAAUUACAAGAGUCCUAGUUGGCCACAGAUGGGGUUGGCCUUUAGCUGGAUUAGUAAUGAGGUUGUUUUAUUUUUACUUUAUUUUGUGUUUUAUUUUGUCUGCUCUCCACCCUUUCCAUCAGAGCCCUGUCUUCCUGAGCAUCCCCAUCACAGGCAUGGUGAGCUGGUCCAGGCCCCUAUCCAGCUGGCAGCCAGCCCUUUAUACUGUAUCCACCCAUUACUUCAUCCACAAUGGCUGGAGUCCAGCACCUGAGGUUCUAGGUAGGAGUCUGGCCUCAGCAGAAGCCGCCCUUUGCAAUGCUGCCUCACUGGUUUCUGGAGCAGGAAUGCAAAAGCAACCCAGGCAGGCAGAUGGGCCUGUUCCCCGUGGAUACCUUCUCUUGAAUCCUACCCCGUUACUAUGAGCUGAGUCACUUGACUUCUCUGCCUUGCCCAUGGCCUUCUGUGGUGAGCUCUCUGCCAAUGUCACCAGCCCUGGAUGUCUCAGUGAGGCAGCUGGCGAUGGUCCUCCUCUGGUAUCAGGUGAUGUUGCUGUCAUAUUAUUAACCCUGGCAGAAGGUAUGCCUGUAGCACGAAUCUUAAAAGGUCUUAUUAAUAAAAACAAACCCAGUGCCAGUUAUUGGGGUGAAUGCUGGAAGAUCAGAGAAGCAGAACAAGCCACAACUACCUCACCUCAUCAAUUCCUCUGCUGAUCCUGUUUCCUCAGACUGGAAGCUUCUGUGUCCUCAUCCAAAUGGAUCUCAGCUGAACUGCUGCUCGAAAGCCUAAAAGCUUAACCAGGCUCUAGUUCCUGGUCCUCACGCCUUAUGUACCUUUCUGCUUUCUGCCAUCACUUCCUGGGAUUAAAGGCGUGAGUCACCAUGCCUGGCUGUUUCCAGUGUGGCUUUACACUCACAGAGAUCCAGAUGGAUCUCUGCCUCCAGAAGGCUAGGAUUAAAGGUGUGAGUGCCACCAUCUUCUGGCCUCUAUGUCUGUCUAGUGGUUGUUCUGUUCUCUGACCCCAGAUAAAUUUAUUAGGGUGCACAAUAUAUUGGGGAACAAUAUCACCACAUGUGCCCACAUGUACGGCAGCAGAAAUGUAAGGAAAGGCAGGGCCUCUUAUGUCUAGGUGACAGGACACUAGAGAAACUGAGUUUCUUCUCCUCCGAAUGCUGCAGGUAAACUGUCAUUUACUCUGUUUAGCAAUGCUAUAGACUGCAUAUAUUAUGGCUUCCUGUUCCGAGAGCUGGGAAAACUCAGAUAGAUGGAGGAGUUGGCACGUGUGUUCCAUGGAAGAAUGGGUUUCCGAUGCAGCUUGGCCUGUUUGCAUAGUGCCCUGGGGGUCUGCUGCCCUGACUCCAGAACACUGUGCUCACAGAGGAAGAGGUGGCGUCCUCUAGCAUACAUGGGACAUUUGGCAUGUCAUAUACUCCUGCCUCAGGAUUCCUCCACUUGCUCUUCCUUCUGCCUCGUCUCCUAGCUGCCUCCUUCCCUUUCUUAGUGACACCUCUGCAGACCACUUCGAAUCACAGCCCCCACUCCAGCCUGCAUGGCCCCGUUCUUCUGUGCUCUGCAUUCCCGUGGAGUGUGAUCAACACUACCACAUGGGACACAGACCUUUCUCAGCGUCUGCCUGUCAUUCUCGGAACUUAAGAAAGGAGUUAGGUUUGGGCAUCCAGUCUUCAUGGGAGCAGGCUGUUCCCCCUCUGUGGCUUGCCGCAGUGUCGCCAUCGCCGUGGGUGGUUCACCAGAGCCUGCACCAGGACAUGGAGCCCUGGAGAUGUUACCAGCUGCUUGCUGAGCAAAUUCUGUGAGGCCACAACCACUCAGAGAGGGUGGCAGGAGAAAGGGAAGACCUAGCGUGAGAUGUCAGUGACAGACUCAGGAGAAAAUCUGUGGUGACAUCUGGUAUCCCAGACUGCAGCCUUUGCUGAGUCCCCUGUGGUAUUGCCAGUCCCUUCUUCCCAGCAGGUACAGAGCCGUGAGGCUGCAAGACGAGAUCACACUCUUGUGUUCACACAGCUCAGAAGGGGAACUGGUUUCCAUUUACUCACAGUGGUGUUUUGAAGGUGGGCCUUACGCUCUGGGCACAUGUGAGAUGUAGCCGUGAUGCUGUAGAGAGGACUCCAAGGUCAAGGAGACAAAUCCGGGAUAUUGUUUGUUCAAUAAGGGGACUCUAGAGGAAGUUGGCCCCUGUGUGUGCCCAGUUGUCCCCUGGGUCUAUCUCCAUCUUGUCACUCAGCAGGCAGUGUAGCACUGGUGAUCUAAACAGUUCACUACUGGCCUAUGAGAUUUGAUCGGAGUGUAGCAGGUUAGCAUGAGAUUUGGGAUCAGACUUUUGGAGUUCAAAUCUGGUCUUAGGAGCAAUAUGACAUUGAUCAUAUUAAAUUUUUGUAUGUAUAUACAUGUGUGCGUGUUCUUGCACAUAUGUGUGUGUGUGUAGAAAUGUUUGUAUGUGUAUUUGUGUGCACAUGGUAGUCAGAUGUCAACAUCGGAUGUUUUCCUCAGUCAUUCUUCACUUUAUUUUUUUGAGCCAGGCUCCUUCCCUCAACCUGGAGCUUGCUAAUUUAGGUAGCCUGGCUGGCCAGUGAGCCUGAAGAAUCCCCCUGUCUCUACCUCCCCAGUGUUAGCCUUCUAAGGUGUGUGCCUCUUUGUGUCACUUUUUUACUUGGGUACCAUGGAGUGAACUCAGGGUUCCACGAUUGCUCAGAAAGCAUUUUACUGAUGGAGCCAUCUCCCCAGGCCCUUAUCACGUCAUUUAGAGUGUUCUGGGCUUCUACAUGCUCCUUCUGUCGAUGAGGACUAUUCCUAUCUUCUUCAUAGGCUUACUGUGAGGAUAACAGAUUAGCACGCACAGAAUCAUUGCACCAGAUGUUCAUCGGCGGCCCGGCACACAGUAGGGGCUCAGUAAAAAGACAUGGGCACGAUGUGGGACACAAGAAGAUGGAAGCAUGGCUUGAAGCCGCUUCUUUGGCUACUGGAAAUGAUGGCAGCUGAGAUACAGGGACAACCGGAUUGUGCAACUCCCAAACAGGAGUGGAUUUUAAGUCAGCCUCGGGCGGUCUGAUCUUAAAAGCCGGGCCCUGGGACAUGAACCAAGAAGGUUUCUGGUGAUGAAGACAGGCAAAGGAGAUAGAUGGGGUUUGUAAACAUGACUACAAACACACUUUUGGUAACCAAGCAAUUUGGCAAUGGUCCCUGGUCUUGAGAGGGAAUUUUUCCCUUUAAAAACUAGAAUAACAGCACACGGCAAUGACUUCAUCCAGGACUCUGGGCGCGUGUCCCAGAGGGGCCACCCUUUUCUGGCUGUGAGGCCUUUAAGGCAGGUCAGGCAUAAAUGGAGAGUUUCCUGUCCCUGGUGGGCACAGCAGAUGAUCACCUCUGGCUGGGCUCUUCUAAGUCUAGCCUGCAAUGACUGGGAUUGCCCCCUCAGUUCCCGUUGAGGCUUUCCCCUUACAUUUUCUGCAAAGUGCCCCCUUGCUGUUGAUUGAGGGUUCCACAGUUAACUCCUAACCAUGCAUUGCAGGGAAAUUUUGUGCUCCUUCCUGCAUCGGGUGUUUUGGAAUCAAGGGUGGGUGGACAAAGGUGAAGAAAGCCUUCCAGGGUCCACCAUAACCCCCUGCACUCAGUACUUCAACUCUUGACCUCCCAGGGCAGGGCUGGGGCCUGGUGUGUCUCAUCAUUCCUGUGGGUUACAGUGUGGGGGGUCUCUCUAGUUCUUCGGGGUCUGCUCCUGGGAGAAACCGGUUCCUGGAGGUCUCUCACCCGUUCCCCAACGGGACUCGCGGCCUCCUAGAACAUUUUAUUUCUUCCUGCUUUGUCUUCAGUCAUUGUGUCUUCAUUUCCUGUCAUCACGGGCCAUAAAUCAGCCUCCCAGACAUUGAUGGACUCACCCCAGAGCCUACAUCUUCAACCUUAUGGAACAGACCAACUAAGAGUGCCAAGGUCAGACUGCCAAAGUCAGCCCCAGCUAUAUUCCCCUUUUGUUUUUUCAGGAUGAAGAAAAUGCUCCAUUAGCUCAUGGAUGCUGACUUUGUGUCAUCCCAUUGAGUGUCUUCAUGUGAGCUCAUGCUGGGCAGGGCCGACCGACACUGAUCAUUCAUCUUUUCCUCACCCCCAUGACUGAGAAGCUGAUCAAUUCCCAGAACAGCUCUGUCUGUUUAUAAAAUUGGGAAGGUUUGGGCCAGGUUCCUUCAGAAACAGCCUCCCAUUCUAAGAACUGAAAACCAUAUUGAUCUUUGAGUCAUAGUUUGGGCAGCCUGAGGAUUUCUGGGGUUGCCAAGACUCUAAGUCUUUUCUUUUGUAGUGAAUUGUGGACCUGAACUGGGGCCCAAGGCAGGUUCUUGGUAGAAGUGCUCUUGCUUGUUUGUAGGGUGGGUAGGACAAGUACAUAGCAAUGUUGGGGACCUCGGGAUCCUGGUGUGUGCUCAUGAGUCUACACAGGUACACCCAUACCCAUACACCCCCCCAUCACACAUACCUGGGAAAGAAAAGAAUCAGGGUCAAGGCAAGUGUGAUGUCAAAGUUUUUAGGGUGGGACCGCAGUGCCCAUCUCAUUGUCCAUCAGCCAUGAUGUUAGCCAAGUCCAGUGUCAGUACAGCAUGAACUUUGACCUCUGCACGUUCUGAAGGGCACAGCAGAGCUCUCAUCUGUUGCUAAAGCCAUCAGAAACACAUGCACAACCUGUGUGCCCUCUCUGUUUCAAGGGCAGGGUCCGCUGAGUAUGAACACACAGCAAGAGUGGACCUGUGCAGGAUCAACUUGGCCCUGGGUUCAGGAUGGUGGUAUGAACAUUGUCCUUGAUUUCUUAUGUGUUGUUUUGGUAUAGCCAGAUGUUCAGCAGAUGCCUGGCACACAGUAGGCCCUCAGUAAAAAGAUAUGGGCAGAAUGUGGAGAACAAGUGGAUAACAGCAUGGUGUGGGCAUUGCCUCAUGUUGAGAUUCGAGAAGAGACACAGACUUCAUCUGCAUUCUGACUUUACAGAGCUUUGUUCUACCAAGAGCCUGCCAGUCCCAUCAUUAAUCACUCGCUUUGAGGAGGUCUUUCUGAGUCACGCUUGGCAACAUGGAUACAUGAUCUCUCCUUGAGCCUGAUUCAGCAACAGGACGUUGUCUGGCUUCUUAUUUGUCAUAGAUGUAGAAAUUUACCUAUUGUGCAUUUGUGUCCAUUGGAAAGGAAAACAUGGUAGUCUGUAAGACUGAAGGCUCUGAAGGCAGCAUGAGGACUGGAGAAGCAUCUAAACUCAGGGAACUCCGACUUCAAACUUUGUUCUAAUAAGCAAAGCACUGUUGGAUUGAUUCCUGGUGUUUUUCUGAAAUCCGAGUGUUUUCGGAGGUGAUGCUUACAGAUGCUCAUCUGGAGGGAUGCUGAGCGUGUGGAAGAAUGAGAUUCCUGAAUCUAAUCUCCUUUGCUCAGCUUUCUCUCUGAUUAUGAUGAACAACAACUUGUAACCAACCACCCUAAAUGAUGAUAAGCAUCCAUAAUACAUUAAAUGACC